UACGGAAGGCAGCAGUGGGGAAUAUUGCACAAUGGGCGAAAGCCUGAUGCAGCUAUGCCGCGUGUAUGAAGAAGGCCUUAGGGUUGUAAAGUACUUUCAUCGGGGAGGAAAAAACAAAACUAAUAAUUUUAUUUCUUGACGUUACCCGAAAAAGAAGCACCGGCUAACUCCGUGCCAGCAGCCGCAGUAAUACGGAGGGUGCUAGCGUUAAUCAGAAUUACUGGGCGUAAAGAGCACGUAGGUGGUUUUUUUAAGUCAGAUGUGAAAUCCCCUGGGCUUAACCUAGGAACUGCAUUUUGAAACUGAAAUACUAGAGUAUCGUAGAGGGAGGUAGAAUUCUAGGUGUAGCGGUGAAAUGCGUAGAUAUCUGGAGGAAUACCUGUGGCGAAAGCGGCCUCCUAAACGAAUACUGACACUGAGGCGCGAAAGCGUGGGGAGCAAACAGGGAUUAGAUACC
This 457-nucleotide ribosomal RNA is filed under the name uncultured bacterium. Its description in RNAcentral is "bacterial SSU rRNA". It matches the Rfam family "Bacterial small subunit ribosomal RNA", at positions 340 to 786 of the family's 1533-position model. The record is from RNAcentral.